This is a non-coding RNA of Paramuricea clavata, 201 nucleotides long. The record is from the annotation of a GenBank genome assembly. Lineage: Eukaryota; Metazoa; Cnidaria; Anthozoa; Malacalcyonacea; Plexauridae.
AAUUUACAAAAGUUUCUAGACCACAUUAAUAGUUUGCAUCCAUCGAUCAAAUUUACUUUUGAAGUACAGAAGGGUGAUAAAACUUACCAUUCUUAGAUGUUCUGUUUACUAUACAUGAUGAUGGGUCACCAGGACAUAAUUGGUUUAUAGGAAACCAACACACAGAGACAGGUAUCCGCAUUAUAAUUCAUUUCAUCCUAG